CCGGGCUUCGCGGUCUGGUUGUCACCUUUCUAUCUCUCUUCUCCCUCUCAUUCAUUUCAACCCGAAAACAGCUAUCAAUUUCUCUCUCUACAGUGGAAAGAAGAAGAACCCAAAUUAAGAGAUUUUCUUUCGUUUUUCUACAAGUUAAGACCUGGUUUAUGUUUGCUCUCUGUUUUUUCAUAAACCAGGUCCUAACCUUCCCUAAUCAAUCAAUCUACACCUCUUCUCUUCUUCACUUUUUUAUCUUUUAAGAAAAAAAAAAGAGGCUUCUUUGAGCUUAUUCUUCCACAAUGAACGACCUUCUAUCGGAAUCUUUUGAGAUCCCUCGUGGUCAGGGUUCUAGAGGUGGCGAUAUUGAAAUGGGAAUGAAUUCUGGAGAUUUGGGCUUGGAAAAUUUCUUUAAAAAGGUUCAAGAGAUUGAGAAACAAAAUGAGAAGUUAGACAAGCUACUUAAAAAGCUCCAGGAUGCGCAUGAAGAGUCAAAGGCUGUGACUAAAGCUCCUGCUAUGAAAGCAAUCAAGCAGCGGAUGGAGAAAGAUGUUGAUGAAGUUGGAAAAAUUGCUCGUUCAGUAAAGUCAAAAAUUGAGGAACUUGACAAAGAGAAUUUAGCAAAUAGGCAGAAGCCAGGAUGUGGAAAAGGAACAGGUGUAGACCGAUCAAGAACCUCAACAACUAUGGCCUUGAAAAAGAAGUUGAAAGACAAGAUGGCUGAAUUUCAGAAUCUAAGGGAAAAUAUCCAUCAAGAGUAUCGGGAGGUUGUUGAGAGGCGUGUUUUCACAGGUUUGAACCUUUCACUUGUUCCUCGUCUAUGGUUAGUAUAUCUACAAAAUGAUGCCUUGUAUAAUAUAUGAUGGUGACUGUUCCUAUUUCUUGGUCUCCUUGGUUUUCAGUGACUGGCACUAGAGCAGAUGAAGAGGUGAACUUUUUGUGGUCAAAACAUCACAAGCAAAAUUCAUAUUCUUUGUCCUCUUUUUUUCCCUUUUAAUAUAUAAAGAGUAAAGCAGCAUUUCUGAAACCUUUGGUAUCUGUCCAAACCCUCACAUCCACUGCCCACCUGAGCCAUGCUUAGGUGCCUGUGACUUCAUAUUUUAGUAAACUCAUAUUUUAAUUAUUGAACAUUGGCAGACAAUUGACAGAUUGAUUGAAACUGGAGAUAGCGAACAAAUUUUCCAGAAAGCAAUUCACGAGCAAGGGCGAGGCCAGAUAAUGGAUACUCUGGCAGAAAUUCAAGAACGCCAUGAUGCUGUUAGAGAUUUGGAGCGUAAGCUUCUGGACUUACAACAGGUUUUUCUGGAUAUGGCAGUUUUGGUGGAUGCACAAGGGGAAAUGUUAGACAACAUAGAAUCACAGGUAAUUGCACUCGCUUUUAUUGCCCAACAGCUUUGACAAGUGAAGAAAGUAAAAGAAAUUCUUAGAAACAUAUCAUGGAUCAUAGCUAAAAUGCUGUGCGAUAAUAACUAGAAUAUUAUACCUCGUGAUUUGAAUCUUUGCCUUAUCUCCUAUUUUCUAGGUGUCUAGUGCUGUAGAUCAUGUGCAGUCAGGGAAUACUGCUCUCCAAAGGGCAAAGAAGUUGCAGAAGAACUCCAGGAAAUGGAUGUGUAUUGCCAUCAUAAUCCUUCUUAUCAUUGUUGCAAUCAUCGUUGUUGCUGUAAUCAAACCAUGGAGUAGCAACAAGGGUGCUUAGUGCCUAUGCUAGUUGUAUAUGUAUAAAUGUGUCAGAACAUCAACUUUUGGGCCUCAUUCCGGCAGUUUGUUGCAGUUCAUUUACAAAUUCAGCUUGCAUCUGUUAAAUUCUAUCAUAUUCUUUGGACUCUUGGAGAUAAAUGUUCUAAGCCGGUUCAUCACUGGUGUUUGCAAUCUCAUGAUCCUUUUUCCACCCCCUUCUCCCCUUCCUCUCCUCUCCCCUGCGCGCCUUCACAUGUUUAUUGCUAAAUUUCCUAUUAUGGGCACACUGGGCUAUUACUUCCUUGCGAAAAAUCUAAUCAUAUCAGUUGCAUGUGAAAAUAUGAAUCUAGAUGCUGG
This 2022-nucleotide unclassified non-coding RNA is filed under the name Hevea brasiliensis (rubber tree). The record is from RNAcentral. Lineage: Eukaryota; Viridiplantae; Streptophyta; Magnoliopsida; Malpighiales; Euphorbiaceae.